RNAcentral lists this ribosomal RNA (521 nucleotides) under Pleosporales sp. F277808. Its description in RNAcentral is "eukaryotic LSU rRNA". The stretch from base 151 to 304 matches the Rfam family "5.8S ribosomal RNA". The record is from RNAcentral. Lineage: Eukaryota; Fungi; Ascomycota; Dothideomycetes; Pleosporales.
GGAUCAUUAUCAAAACAGCGGACUUCGGUCUUUGCUGCACCCUUGUCUUUUGCGCACCGAAUUGUUUCCUCGGCGGGCUUGCCUGCCGGUUGGACAUUAUCAAAACCUUUUUGUAGUUGCAAUCAGCGUCAGAAAAAUCAUAAUUAUUACAACUUUCAACAACGGAUCUCUUGGUUCUGGCAUCGAUGAAGAACGCAGCGAAAUGCGAAAAGUAGUGUGAAUUGCAGAAUUCAGUGAAUCAUCGAAUCUUUGAACGCACAUUGCGCCCCUUGGUAUUCCAUGGGGCAUGCCUGUUCGAGCGUCAUUUUGUACCCUCAAGCACUGCUUGGUGUUGGGCGUUUGUCCUGCAGAGGACUCGCCUGAAAGCGAUUGGCGGCCAACGUAGUCGUGGCAGAGCGCAGCACAAUCUCGCGUCUCUCCCCUCUGCGUCGGCGUCCAUGAAGCCCACAAUCUCAACGUUUGACCUCGGAUCAGGUAGGGAUACCCGCUGAACUUAAGCAUAUCAAUAAGCGAGAAAGAAC